RNAcentral lists this long non-coding RNA (1955 nucleotides) under Androctonus crassicauda. Lineage: Eukaryota; Metazoa; Arthropoda; Arachnida; Scorpiones; Buthidae. The record is from RNAcentral.
CUCUAUUGAUGUAUUGUACAGGGUUGCAAAUCGGAGUUCCACUCGAACUCAAUGAAUGAAUCCGACUUAGUAUUUGUUACCCUUACAUUAUUGAAAUAAUAUUCGAAUAUUCCCUUGGCUUUUGCAGGUAUCAGCCGGAUUCAAGCAUUGCCGGUCUCCGGGGAUUUUAUGUUUGAAACAAAAAAUAACCGAGAAUCUCGGCCUGCUGUAUACUCUUGUACAGUGAGGUUGGAUGCCACUUGCGGUCUAUGUCCGAAUUUCAAUAUUAUUCCAAUAAUAUAAGCGAUAAUGCAUUGUUCUGAGUUGGAGUCUAACUCCGAUUCAUUGCUAAUGCAUGAUAAUAUCGAGGGUUUUAAUUUUGCCAGCCAGGAAUAUACUCCUUUUGAUGUUUUUCCUAGACAGAUCCAUAUACUUUCUGCGCUUUGACACAUUAAUCUCUGCUUAUUCCAGCCGGGUAUCUGUUUGGUGCGUUUGUACAACUUCUUGUCUAUGGUAUUUCUGUCAUACAGAAACUGUAGAAAUGAUUCCAGACCACGUAUCCACACUACCAGGCUUUCUCCUUUAACUCCGCAUUCGAUUAAUGCAUCGAAGGCAGAAUCUAUACGGUCUUCUAUAAAUACUAAGGGAUAAUCUAGAGCGGAAGCGCCUUCACUCAGGAAAUAAAGUAACUUACGACAGCAGUUAUAUCUUUGCAGAUUCUUUGGAUUUGAUUUUUUACUUCUACAGGACUUCACCAGGUACCGUCUAUACGCUCCAACAUCAUCUAUGCUGUCCGAUAUACAAUUGUAUAAGCCCUUCUGUUGUAGUCUCCCUCGAACUGUCGAUGUAGAAUAAUUGAUUUUUCUCGUUGUCAGAGAUAUUUCUUCGCCGGGUACCUCUGCUCGGUACUGAUGCUGUCUGUGUUGAUGUUGAGGGCUGUGGUGAUGUGUUUGCUGAUGUUAAAGGGUGUGGUGAUGUCUCUACUGUUGUUGAAGACUGUGAUGCAGGUUCUUCUGCAUCUGAAGAAGGCUGGCUAUCCUCUCCUGAUGGUUGCUUGAAUUUCAUUAACAGGUUACCAUUGUUAGCAUUUCGAAAGCUGACAAAACCAUCUUGAAUGGUAUAGCUGAGGAUACACUUACAGAACAGCAUUACAGAUUUAAAACAAUAGAAUGUAAACUUUGACAUUCUGUGUUUCUGCCUACAAUGCCUUUUCAUGUAUGUAGUGGUAGAAUUACAACCAGAGAGGCGGCACUUCUUGGGUGGAUGAUUGACCAUCUAAAUAGAAAAUGGAAAUUUAAUAUCACAUAAUACAAGACAGUAAUAAUUAAGAUUUACUUACCUUUCUAAGUAUAUUGUAUCAAAGGCAGAGCAGAACUUCUUGUAGCAAAGUCAAAACCGUUGUGGUAAAUUGUUGCUGCUCCAACAACUUGUAUACAACUUGUAUACAACUUGUAUAUGCCUUCAGGGUAACAAACAAUUCUAGAAAAUGUUUUCAACAAAAGCUUCCCAAAACAAAGAACUUCUGAGACGCGUUUACAACAAAAUCUGACAAACAUAUGGACAAUAAAUUAUACGUUGUUUAGGCUGUUUUAAUUUGAAAGGUGAUGAAUUUUGUAAAGUGUUUGACAUUGUUGUGUUUUUAUCCCAUAACCAUUCUGUAUCUCGUUUCAAUAGCUGACGUAGUGUAUCAGUGAGAUUUGACAGCUUAGGGGUAAAUCUGGCUAGGUACAGUCUAGUCCAUAAAGUUUUUCCUAUGGGUCAAAGUUGUCCGGCUUCCUUACACUACUUCAGUCUAACGAGAUUGCUUUUUCCAGGCGUCUAUUCGAACAAGCUUAGUGUGGGAUGAUUUCAUUAAGGAUUUACGUUAGUGUCGGGGGUAGAUAAGUUUUACGUCACGUGCUCAAAUAUGUUGGCAGUAAAGUAAUUUCUGGCUGUUCUGUAGGGACUUUUUGUGGUAUUAAUACUAAACUAAUCUA